AUGUUUGCACCACAAAAAUUAGCAAUAGCUACUCUGUGCUCCAUUAUUCAAUAUUCAUGAUUCAAAAAAUAUAGUCCACAAAUUAAAAUGCUUUCUAUUAACUUAGAAUGUGAUCAGCUCCGCCUUUGAGGACACUCUUCAUAUGAAUUAUUCUUUCUAAAUGAAGAAGAAUAAUAAUGCUUUGUGCAGGAUCUUAUAAUUUAUUUUUCUUCCUCACUUGAAUAUUAUUGUUAAUAUAUCUAUAUAUCGUUGAUAUUGAUGAGUUGCUUUUGUUUGCACCUAACAUUGUUGUUUCAUUAUUGCUUUCAAAGGGUUUGCAAUUUGCACAUUGCUGAAACAAAGCUACUUAGAUUCUCUGAAACUUGUUCAAGAUUGAAACUCUUUUAACUUCACCCAUUAGUUGCAUCGUCAACACUUAAUUCGAACGUGUUAUUUUUUCCUACCGUACGUUUUGAUUCGAUUAUGUUAUUAUUUAGAAUUAAACGAUCCAUUCUGUCAUGGUAAUUGCACGGGUUGUCCCCGUCUCUAACAUUUUAUUAAUAAUUUGAUGCGGGUGAUGAAGUCAAUGAUGACUGAGAAAGUUCAGAUUGCCGACAUCAGUUGAUAAUCUUGUUCAAGCUAUGAUUUAAAUAUCUAAAUUGUCUGAGACUUUCACACCGAUUUCUGAGCUGAAAAUUGAUAUGAUUUAAAUUAAAUAGAAUUAUGUUAUCUUUAGGAGUUUAUUUAUUUUCUAUGUGUUUGGAUAAAUAUUUUUUAAUAAAAAUAUUAUUUUUUAAAAUUUUAGUAUAUUUUUUUAAAUAAAAGUAAAUUCACUAAAAAAAAAUCAGAAAUUUUUGUUUUAAAACAACUACGAUUUUUUAUUUAUUUAUUUUACUUUUUUUUUGGUGACUAUUUAUUUAUUUUACUUAAAAAAAGUUUUAUCAUGAUAAAUGAAAAAAAAAUAUAUUAUCGUAUCUAAAUCUAAUUAAUAAAUAAAAAAUAUUAAAUAAAAUGAACAGCGACUCAUACUUACACACAGAAACAUUGAUGAAUUUCCAACCACCUACCUGGCCGACACAAUAUUAUACUACUAUUUCAGUGAACACCAUAACUGCUUAGAGAGGCCUCAAGGUGAGUUGUGUUGUAUUAUUUAUAUUUUCUCAUGUUUCUUCACUUUUUUUAGUUUGUUAAUUAGUUGCCAUCACUUUGAAGCACUCUUUCCCCUCAUUCCCGGGCUUCUGCCUGAAGCUCUCCUACUCUCCAUGGCUCAAGGUUAGGUAUUCAUGCUCUUCACAUCUUGUACAUGUAUGGAAUCUAUCCUCGCUGUUAGUACGGUAUUGUGCUUAAACCUUAUCCUAUUCCUCUUUUUGACAAUUACCUUAGCUACUGGAUUAAGUCAUUGCUCAUUUGCUUGCUACUAAUUCAAUUUCUAUUUUAAUUUGCUUGAGAGAAUGAUUGGAAAUUUGGAAUGGAAUAUUAGGUUCAUUUCACUGCGUAGUACGGUUUAUAUACAAAUAAAAACAUAAAAAAGGACACAGGAAAAGCUAUACAAAUUGCUGAAGUUGAGGGUGCUAAUAAUAAAAUUGAGGUGAUGGCGGUGAAAGUGGAGAUGAAGAGUAUGAAUAAGUACUUGUGGUUGAUGAUAGCACUCAAGCUAUCCAUGACUUUGAGGAAAGCAAAACAGAGGAACUUAACUUCAUAUUAAAUGGUCGGUAAACAUUUAGACACUAGCUAGGGUAGAUAUUAUUUUUUUGCUUCAAUAGAUAUGAUUUUUACUUAGCAGUGGGGGCUUAUGGUGGUGUAUGUUCACUCUCUGGAUUUUCCAUUUUGGUAUUAAUUAGUAGAUGGAUAUGUAUUUGAUUUCGGUUCUUCAAGGAGAUAUUGAACUUAACUAUGUAAUUACUUCAGAAUUUUUAAGCAUUUGCUGUACAUGCUCAGUGUAUACUUUGAUAUUUAAGAAUUUGAUCAUA
Molecule: long non-coding RNA, 1949 nt
Organism: Arachis stenosperma
Lineage: Eukaryota; Viridiplantae; Streptophyta; Magnoliopsida; Fabales; Fabaceae
Exons: 2
Source: RefSeq, a predicted model, not a curated record